ACAUAUAGGUUGUAGGGAACUGAAAGGGACCGACCCUUCGGGAGCCUAUACAGGUGUUGCAUGGCUGUCGUCAGCUCGUGUCGUGAGAUGUUCGGUUAAGUCCGCUAACGAGCGCAACCCUCGUCGUAUGUUAUAUGUGUCAUACGAGACUGCCGGUAAAAGCCGGAGGAAGGUGAGGAUGAUGUCAAGUCAGCAUGACCUUUAUAUCCAGGGCUACACACACGCUACAAUGGUCUGUACAAUGGGUAGCCAAGCCGCGAGGCGGAGCCAAUCCUGAAAGCAGGCCUCAGUUCAGAUUGUAGGCUGCAACCCGCCUGCAUGAAGAUGGAGUUGCUAGUAACCGCAGGUCAGCUAUACUGCGGUGAAUACGGUUCCCGGGGCUU
This 383-nucleotide ribosomal RNA is filed under the name uncultured Anaerolineaceae bacterium. RNAcentral describes it as "bacterial SSU rRNA". It matches the Rfam family "Bacterial small subunit ribosomal RNA", at positions 984 to 1382 of the family's 1533-position model. Lineage: Bacteria; Bacillati; Chloroflexota; Anaerolineae; Anaerolineales; Anaerolineaceae. The record is from RNAcentral.